GUGGUAUAGAGAUUGAGGUAGGGUACUGGCAACAGUGCUCUGCUGAAAUAUUUUCACCCAUGUCUUUUGCGCACUUUUUGUUUCCUGGGCGAGUUUGCUCGCCACCAGGACCCCCAUAUGAACCUUUUUUGUUUUUGCACUCAGCGUCAGUACAAUAAUUUAAUCUAUUAAAACUUUCAACAACGGAUCUCUUGGUUCUGGCAUCGAUGAAGAACGCAGCGAAAUGCGAUACGUAGUGUGAAUUGCAGAAUUCAGUGAAUCAUCGAAUCUUUGAACGCACAUUGCGCCCUUUGGUAUUCCAAAGGGCAUGCCUGUUCGAGCGUCAUUUGUACCCUCAAGCUUUGCUUGGUGUUGGGCGUCUUAUUGUCUCUCCGUCUCGGGGAGACUCGCCUUAAAACAAUUGGCAGCCGGCCUACUGGUUUCGGAGCGCAGCACAAAUUUGCGCUUGCAAUCAGCCAAGGGCGGCAUCCAUGAAGCCUUUUUUCUCUCACAUUUUGACCUCGGAUCAGGUAGGGAUACCCGCUGAACUUAAGCAUAUCU
This 540-nucleotide ribosomal RNA is filed under the name [Setosphaeria] turcica f. sp. zeae. Its description in RNAcentral is "eukaryotic LSU rRNA". The stretch from base 172 to 325 matches the Rfam family "5.8S ribosomal RNA". The record is from RNAcentral. Lineage: Eukaryota; Fungi; Ascomycota; Dothideomycetes; Pleosporales; Pleosporaceae.